AACAUAAGGAAAAAAAAA
RNAcentral lists this small RNA (18 nucleotides) under Arabidopsis thaliana (thale cress). Its description in RNAcentral is "ATSL185240". Lineage: Eukaryota; Viridiplantae; Streptophyta; Magnoliopsida; Brassicales; Brassicaceae. The record is from RNAcentral.